Molecule: transfer RNA, 61 nt
Filed under: Triticum aestivum (bread wheat)
Lineage: Eukaryota; Viridiplantae; Streptophyta; Magnoliopsida; Poales; Poaceae
Also listed under: 1 other name
Rfam family: tRNA
About the family: Transfer RNA (tRNA) molecules are approximately 80 nucleotides in length.
Source: Rfam by way of RNAcentral
GUAGCUCAGAGGAUUAGAGCACGUGGCUAUGAACCACGGUGUUAGGGGUUCGAAUCCCUCC